GCCUUUAUGGUGUAAUGUUCAGCACACUCGGCUCGUAUUCGACAGUUCCAAGGUUCGAGUCUCGGUGAAGGCA
Molecule: transfer RNA, 73 nt
Filed under: Stegodyphus mimosarum
Lineage: Eukaryota; Metazoa; Arthropoda; Arachnida; Araneae; Eresidae
Rfam family: tRNA
About the family: Transfer RNA (tRNA) molecules are approximately 80 nucleotides in length. Their secondary structure includes four short double-helical elements and three loops (D, anti-codon, and T loops). Further hydrogen bonds mediate the characteristic L-shaped molecular structure. tRNAs have two regions of fundamental functional importance: the anti-codon, which is responsible for specific mRNA codon recognition, and the 3' end, to which the tRNAs corresponding amino acid is attached (by aminoacyl-tRNA synthetases). tRNAs cope with the degeneracy of the genetic code in two manners: having more than one tRNA (with a specific anti-codon) for a particular amino acid; and 'wobble' base-pairing, i.e. permitting non-standard base-pairing at the 3rd anti-codon position.
Source: Rfam by way of RNAcentral